RNAcentral lists this non-coding RNA (45 nucleotides) under Trichobilharzia regenti. The record is from RNAcentral. Lineage: Eukaryota; Metazoa; Platyhelminthes; Trematoda; Strigeidida; Schistosomatidae.
AUCCAGCCGACGAGUCCCAAGUAGGACGAAAUGUGCAUCCUGGAU